Long non-coding RNA from Gadus chalcogrammus (walleye pollock), 1796 nucleotides. RefSeq lists it as uncharacterized. NCBI's taxonomy places the organism in Eukaryota, Metazoa, Chordata, Actinopteri, Gadiformes, Gadidae. The record is from RefSeq and is a predicted model, not a curated record. The transcript is spliced from 4 exons.
GUUAUGCUUCUAUGUCCUUCAGUAUUUUGUCACUUACCAUCUUUGCUUUUUCAUUUCCAUAACAGCAUCACCCCCUAACUUUUUACACUUUGAUUUCAUUCAUCCUCUUUUAUAAUAAGUUAAACGAAUACAGAUAAUAACUGUCACCAACAUAAUUAUGCCUAUAAUGAAGUUAUCUUUUUCCCCCAGUCCCAACAUGUAACUCAGCCAGCUACUGAAGGAGCAGAGAGAAGGAAAGUUGAAACUGUGGUGCCAGUGGUUUGGUCUGCACACUCAGUUCAGGCUGCUGUCUCUAGUCUGGAGGAUAGGCCUCAGCCACAGCUUCAAACACUGCCACUGCCACAGACACCUCCACCUCAGGUGCCACUGCCACCACUUCAGCCACAACUACAGCCUGUAGUUGGUCAUGGUGCAUCAACUACUGGAAGCAAAAGAGUGCCUAAAAUAGCAAAGGUCAUCAUAACAACGGCACACAGCAGGAGAAGUCGGAUUGUAAAAGGAUCCUUGGAGCUUGUUCUGGAACAUAUUGUUCAAGGACGUCUCAACAGACUUCCACAUGCCUUUAUGUCUGUCCCGGGCAUGUCUGAUGCAGUGGUGCGAGAAGUGCUUAAUGUUGUGAAAAAGGAGUGCAAGAAGCUAACAAGCCUGAAAUUCAAGUCAGUUCUCCGAAAGAAUAGCAUCAACGAUUUAAAGGACUUUAAAAUGAUGGAUGUUGUUGAAGAGUGGAGGAGGAACGCACCAACCUUUCUUAAGUUUUUAGAGUCUGCAAGUUCAGUCUCCACGGAGGUCACUGAUUCAGGAACACGGCCUCUGUCUCACAGCAAGACAAAUAAAUUCAAAUUACCAAUGGCUGGGUCGAUGCUCCUACAAGCACGCUGCCAGUCAAUGACGGCACAUAUGUAUCGGAAUGCUCUGGUUAUGUGUCGUGGAGGGGCCAAAAGACGUUGUUUUCAACGGUUAAAUCGAUUGGGUAUCUGUAUAUCUGAUGGAAGGGCUCUUGCAAAGCUGAAAGAAAUUGCACAAGCAUGGGACAGCAAGUUCCUCAAAUGGAAAGAUGAUGUAUGCAAACAGUAUACAUCAUCAAGCCCUGCCUCUGGAGGAGCAGAUGGAGAGUUUACGCCAGAGCUGCUAAACUCGGAUGAAUGCCAGGCAAGUUGUAUUACAAAAUAAACAAGUUAUGAAGAUACACCACAUGAAACAUUAUCAGGUAUUAUGUAAUAAACACUACUAAAUGUGUUUACCACAGGACAACACUGAAAGCAGCACGACACCUCCAGAGCAUGAUCCAUCCAUUUGGAUAGAAUCUGAUGUCAUGACACCAUGCGAGCUGUUGUGUUCAGAGGAAGAAGAAGAGGUAUUCACACAAAACUACAAAUAGCUAAAAAUCUAUAAAUAGAUCACAUAAAAGAGUGACGUGAUGGCUCUAAAGUAGCCGAUUCAUCCUGCUAUGCUUAUACAGAGUGGAUUUUGAUAUUUACAUACGGUUCACUCUGUUUCUUUGUUGUGCCAGCCCAGUGAGGAAAAUAAUGCAGCAGGUACCUCCACACCUCUUCUGCUCAGUGGAAAAGAUCUACCUCAGACCGCCGUGCAUCCUCAUGCUACAAAUCAGAUUACAAUUGAUAACUUGGAUCGCAGUGUGACCCCUCAUACAAUAACAAUGAUCAACCAAAAAAAAAUGUACCAUUGGAUGAUAAUGGUUGGUAAUGAGGAGAGAGUCAGUGCAACUCAUCUGCCACAAGAAAACAGAAGGUCUGUGCUAGAAGUCCCACUAACAGACAUACUACGCAAUCAGAAUG